GCUGAGGCAAGAGGAUUCUGAAU
RNAcentral lists this non-coding RNA (23 nucleotides) under Cricetulus griseus (Chinese hamster). Lineage: Eukaryota; Metazoa; Chordata; Mammalia; Rodentia; Cricetidae. The record is from RNAcentral.